AAAAAAGCAAACUCUGGGUUUCCGUGUCUAACUUUGACUGUCCGUCUUAUAUGAAAUUAUUUUAUAAUUUGUAUUUUUAUUGUUGUUAGAUGAUAAAACAUGAUUAAUAUUUUAUGUGUGACUUGUCUUUUAAAUUUUUUUUAUAAUUUUUUCAAAUAAGACGGACGGUUAAACGUUGGACACGGAAACCAGGGUUUGUCUUUUU
This 205-nucleotide microRNA precursor is filed under the name Oryza sativa Indica Group (long-grained rice). RNAcentral describes it as "MIR812 microRNA precursor family". It matches the Rfam family "MIR812 microRNA precursor family". Lineage: Eukaryota; Viridiplantae; Streptophyta; Magnoliopsida; Poales; Poaceae. The record is from Rfam by way of RNAcentral.